RNAcentral lists this ribosomal RNA (498 nucleotides) under uncultured bacterium. RNAcentral describes it as "partial 16S ribosomal RNA". It matches the Rfam family "Bacterial small subunit ribosomal RNA", at positions 30 to 523 of the family's 1533-position model. The record is from RNAcentral.
AUUGAACGCUGGCGGCAUGCCUUACACAUGCAAGUCGAACGGUAACAGGUCUUCGGAUGCUGACGAGUGGCGAACGGGUGAGUAAUACAUCGGAACGUGCCUAGUAGUGGGGGAUAACUACUCGAAAGAGUGGCUAAUACCGCAUGAGAUCUACGGAUGAAAGCAGGGGAUCGCAAGACCUUGCGCUACUAGAGCGGCCGAUGGCAGAUUAGGUAGUUGGUGGGAUAAAAGCUUACCAAGCCGACGAUCUGUUGCUGGUCUGAGAGGACGAUCAGCCACGCUGGGACUGAGACACGGCCCAGACUCCUACGGGAGGCAGCAGUGGGGAAUUUUGGACAAUGGGCGAAAGCCUGAUCCAGCAAUGCCGCGUGCAGGAUGAAGGCCUUCGGGUUGUAAACUGCUUUUGUACGGAACGAAAAGCCCCGGGUUAAUACCCUGGGGUCAUGACGGUACCGUAAGAAUAAGCACCGGCUAACUACGUGCCAGCCGCCGCCGUAA